UACGGAAGGCAGCAGUGGGGAAUAUUGCACAAUGGGCGAAAGCCUGAUGCAGCUAUGCCGCGUGUAUGAAGAAGGCCUUAGGGUUGUAAAGUACUUUCAUCGGGGAGGAAAAAACAAAACUAAUAAUUUUAUUUCUUGACGUUACCCGAAAAAGAAGCACCGGCUAACUCCGUGCCAGCAGCCGCGGUAAUACGGAGGGUGCUAGCGUUAAUCAGAAUUACUGGGCGUAAAGAGCACGUAGGUGGUUUUUUAAGUCAGAUGUGAAAUCCCUGGGCUUAACCUGGAACUGCAUUUUGAAACUGAAAUACUAGAAUAUCGUAGAGGGAGGUAGAAUUCUAGGUGUAGCGGUGAAAUGCGUAGAUAUCUGGAGGAAUACCUGUGGCGAAAGCGGCCUCCUAAACGAAUACUGACACUGAGGUGCGAAAGCGUGGGGAGCAAACAGGGAUUAGAUACCCGU
This 457-nucleotide ribosomal RNA is filed under the name uncultured bacterium. RNAcentral's name for it is "bacterial SSU rRNA". It matches the Rfam family "Bacterial small subunit ribosomal RNA", at positions 340 to 789 of the family's 1533-position model. The record is from RNAcentral.